Molecule: ribosomal RNA, 498 nt
Filed under: uncultured bacterium
Lineage: Bacteria
Description: partial 16S ribosomal RNA
Rfam family: Bacterial small subunit ribosomal RNA
Source: RNAcentral
GACGAACGCUGGCGGCGUGCCUAAUACAUGCAAGUCGAACGAGAGCGACCGGUGCUUGCACUGGUCAAUCUAGUGGCGAACGGGUGAGUAACACGUGGGUAACCUGCCCAUCAGAGGGGGAUAACAUCCGGAAACGGAUGCUAAAACCGCAUAGGUCUUCGAGCCGCAUGGCUUGAAGAGGAAAAGAGGCGCAAGCUUCUGCUGAUGGAUGGACCCGCGGUGCAUUAGCUAGUUGGUGAGGUAACGGCUCACCAAGGCCGUGAUGCAUAGCCGACCUGAGAGGGUGAUCGGCCACAUUGGGACUGAGACACGGCCCAGACUCCUACGGGAGGCAGCAGUAGGGAAUCUUCCGCAAUGGACGCAAGUCUGACGGAGCAACGCCGCGUGAGUGAAGAAGGUUUUCGGAUCGUAAAACUCUGUUGUUAGAGAAGAACAAGUGCUAGAGUAACUGUUAGCGCCUUGACGGUAUCUAACCAGAAAGCCACGGCUAACUACGUG